RNAcentral lists this ribosomal RNA (253 nucleotides) under uncultured bacterium. Its description in RNAcentral is "partial 16S ribosomal RNA". It matches the Rfam family "Bacterial small subunit ribosomal RNA", at positions 524 to 776 of the family's 1533-position model. The record is from RNAcentral.
UACGGAGGGUGCAAGCGUUGCUCGGAAUUAUUGGGCGUAAAGGGUAGGUAGGUGGUCUCAUUUGUCUGGGGUGAAAGCCUUGAGCUUAACUCAAGAAGUGCCCCAGAAACGGUGAGACUCGAGUCCUGGAGAGGGUCGUGGAAUUCCCGGUGUAGCGGUGAAAUGCGUAGAGAUCGGGAGGAACACCAGAGGCGAAGGCGGCGACCUGGACAGGUACUGACGCUCAACUACGAAAGCGUGGGGAGCAAACAGG